GCAUAACGCGAAGAACCUUACCUACUCUUGACAUCCAGAGAACUUUCCAGAGAUGGAUUGGUGCCUUCGGGAACUCUGAGACAGGUGCUGCAUGGCUGUCGUCAGCUCGUGUUGUGAAAUGUUGGGUUAAGUCCCGCAACGAGCGCAACCCUUAUCCUUUGUUGCCAGCGGUUCGGCCGGGAACUCAAAGGAGACUGCCAGUGAUAAACUGGAGGAAGGUGGGGAUGACGUCAAGUCAUCAUGGCCCUUACGAGUAGGGCUACACACGUGCUACAAUGGCGUAUACAAAGAGAAGCGACCUCGCGAGAGCAAGCGGACCUCAUAAAGUACGUCGUAGUCCGGAUUGGAGUCUGCAACUCGACUCCAUGAAGUCGGAAUCGCUAGUAAUCGUAGAUCAGAAUGCUACGGUGAAUACGUUCCCGGGUCUUGUACACACCG
This 438-nucleotide ribosomal RNA is filed under the name uncultured bacterium. Its description in RNAcentral is "bacterial SSU rRNA". It matches the Rfam family "Bacterial small subunit ribosomal RNA", at positions 954 to 1392 of the family's 1533-position model. The record is from RNAcentral.